This 258-nucleotide long non-coding RNA is filed under the name Citrus sinensis (sweet orange). RNAcentral's name for it is "long non-coding RNA (CSIN_LNC003203)". Lineage: Eukaryota; Viridiplantae; Streptophyta; Magnoliopsida; Sapindales; Rutaceae. The record is from RNAcentral.
AUAAUAUAAAAGAGGUAUCAAUUUAGAUUACGGACACAAAAAAAUAACAAAUAAUUUAGGUAAAAUAAUAUAAAAGAAGUGGGCUUUUAGCUAAUAAGCUCAAACCGAGGAUCCAAACCGAUCCAGUCGGUUUGGAUCGGUUCGGUUUGAAAAAAUUUUAAGUUGAUAUCGGUUUGAAAAUAUUUCAAACCGAUAAGUUUGGAUCGGUUUGAGAAUAUGUCUCAAACCGAUCCAAACCGAAUUUGCCCACCCCUAAUU